Molecule: ribosomal RNA, 1375 nt
Filed under: uncultured bacterium
Lineage: Bacteria
Description: bacterial SSU rRNA
Rfam family: Bacterial small subunit ribosomal RNA
Source: RNAcentral
AGAGUUUGAUCCUUUCUCAGAUUGAACGCUGGCGGCAUGCCUUACACAUGCAAGUCGAACGGCAGCACGGGAGCUUGCUCCUGGUGGCGAGUGGCGAACGGGUGAGUAAUAUAUCGGAACGUACCCUAGAGUGGGGGAUAACGCAGCGAAAGUUGCGCUAAUACCGCAUACGAUCUACGGAUGAAAGUGGGGGAUCGCAAGACCUCAUGCUCAUGGAGCGGCCGAUAUCUGAUUAGCUAGUUGGUGGGGUAAAGGCCUACCAAGGCAUCGAUCAGUAGCUGGUCUGAGAGGACGACCAGCCACACUGGAACUGAGACACGGUCCAGACUCCUACGGGAGGCAGCAGUGGGGAAUUUUGGACAAUGGGGGCAACCCUGAUCCAGCAAUGCCGCGUGAGUGAAGAAGGCCUUCGGGUUGUAAAGCUCUUUUGUCAGGGAAGAAACGGUGAGGGCUAAUAUCCUUUGCUAAUGACGGUACCUGAAGAAUAAGCACCGGCUAACUACGUGCCAGCAGCCGCGGUAAUACGUAGGGUGCAAGCGUUAAUCGGAAUUACUGGGCGUAAAGCGUGCGCAGGCGGUUAUGUAAGUCAGAUGUGAAAUCCCCGGGCUCAACCUGGGAAUGGCAUUUGAGACUGCAUGGCUAGAGUGUGUCAGAGGGGGGUAGAAUUCCACGUGUAGCAGUGAAAUGCGUAGAGAUGUGGAGGAAUACCGAUGGCGAAGGCAGCCCCCUGGGAUAACACUGACGCUCAUGCACGAAAGCGUGGGGAGCAAACAGGAUUAGAUACCCUGGUAGUCCACGCCCUAAACGAAAAUGCUAGUUGUCGGGACAUAAAUGUAUGGUAACACAGCUAACGCGUGAAGUAGACCGCCUGGGGAGUACGGUCGCAAAGAUUAAAAAUCAAAGGAAAAGACGGGGACCCGCCCAAGCGGUGGAUGAUGUGGAUUAAUUCGAUGCAACGCGAAAAACCUUACCUACCCUCGACAUGUACGGAACCUCUGAGAGAUUAGAGGGUGCUCGAAAGAGAGCCGUAACACAGGUGCUGCAUGGCUGUCGUCAGCUCGUGUCGUGAGAUGUUGGGUUAAGUCCCGCAACGAGCGCAACCCUUGUCAUUAGUUGUUACGAAAGGGCACUCUAAUGAGACUGCCGGUGACAAACCGGAGGAAGGUGGGGAGGACGUCAAGUCCUCAUGGCCCCUAUGGGUAGGGCUUCACACGUCAUACAAUGGUACAUACAGAGGGCCGCCAACCCGCGAGGGGGAGGUAAUCCCAGAAAGAGUAUCGUAGUCCGGAUUGUAGUCUGCAACUCGACUACAUGAAGUUGGAAUCGCUAGUAAUCGCGGAUCAGCAUGUCGCGGCGAAAAAGUUCCCGGGUCUUG